Molecule: ribosomal RNA, 814 nt
Filed under: Salmonella enterica
Lineage: Bacteria; Pseudomonadati; Pseudomonadota; Gammaproteobacteria; Enterobacterales; Enterobacteriaceae
Description: partial 23S ribosomal RNA
Rfam family: Bacterial large subunit ribosomal RNA
Source: RNAcentral
UGCACGAAUGGCGUAAUGAUGGCCAGGCUGUCUCCACCCGAGACUCAGUGAAAUUGAACUCGCUGUGAAGAUGCAGUGUACCCGCGGCAAGACGGAAAGACCCCGUGAACCUUUACUAUAGCUUGACACUGAACAUUGAGCCUUGAUGUGUAGGAUAGGUGGGAGGCUUUGAAGCGUGGACGCCAGUCUGCGUGGAGCCAACCUUGAAAUACCACCCUUUAAUGUUUGAUGUUCUAACGUGGACCCGUAAUCCGGGUUGCGGACAGUGUCUGGUGGGUAGUUUGACUGGGGCGGUCUCCUCCUAAAGAGUAACGGAGGAGCACGAAGGUUGGCUAAUCCUGGUCGGACAUCAGGAGGUUAGUGCAAUGGCAUAAGCCAGCUUGACUGCGAGCGUGACGGCGCGAGCAGGUGCGAAAGCAGGUCAUAGUGAUCCGGUGGUUCUGAAUGGAAGGGCCAUCGCUCAACGGAUAAAAGGUACUCCGGGGAUAACAGGCUGAUACCGCCCAAGAGUUCAUAUCGACGGCGGUGUUUGGCACCUCGAUGUCGGCUCAUCACAUCCUGGGGCUGAAGUAGGUCCCAAGGGUAUGGCUGUUCGCCAUUUAAAGUGGUACGCGAGCUGGGUUUAGAACGUCGUGAGACAGUUCGGUCCCUAUCUGCCGUGGGCGCUGGAGAACUGAGGGGGGCUGCUCCUAGUACGAGAGGACCGGAGUGGACGCAUCACUGGUGUUCGGGUUGUCAUGCCAAUGGCACUGCCCGGUAGCUAAAUGCGGAAGAGAUAAGUGCUGAAAGCAUCUAAGCACGAAACUUGCCCCGA